Molecule: ribosomal RNA, 1848 nt
Filed under: Triticum aestivum (bread wheat)
Lineage: Eukaryota; Viridiplantae; Streptophyta; Magnoliopsida; Poales; Poaceae
Description: partial small subunit ribosomal RNA
Source: RNAcentral
AUGGCGGCUGCGGAGACGCAGCAGGAACAGUACGCGCCCAAGCCGGCGGCCGAGGGCAGGGGCUACUGGCGGUGGCACAGGGACGACUUCUUCCCGGAGCCGUCGUUCGCGAGCUGGGGCGCGUACCGCUCCGCGCUGGCCGCGACCCCCGCGAGGCUCCGCGACCGCUUCACCGGCCGCUCCACCGACGCCAUCGAGCUCGGCGCGCUGCGGCGCCGCAGCGAGAACGAGAUGCGCCGCUGCCUCACGUGGUGGGACCUCACGUGGUUCGGCUUCGGCUCCGUCAUCGGCGCCGGCAUCUUCGUGCUCACUGGCCAGGAGGCGCACGACCACGCCGGCCCCGCCAUCGUGCUCUCCUACGUCGUCUCCGGUCUCUCCGCCAUGCUCUCGGUGUUCUGCUACACCGAGUUCGCCGUCGAGAUCCCCGUCGCCGGCGGCUCCUUCGCGUACCUCCGCGUCGAGCUCGGCGACGUCGCGGCCUUCAUCGCCGCCGCGAAUCUUAUCCUCGAGAGCAUCAUCGGCACGGCCGCCGUGGCGCGCUCUUGGACGUCCUACUUCGCCUCGCUCAUCAACAAGCCGGCGAGCGCGCUGCGCAUACAGACGUCGCUCAGGGACGGGUACAACGAGCUUGACCCCAUCGCGGUCGUGGUGAUUGCGGUCACCGCCACCAUGGCCAUCCUAAGCGCCAAGGGCACUUCCCGGAUCAACUGGGUCGCGUCCGCGAUACACGUGGUGGUGAUAGCGUUCGUCAUCGUGGCAGGAUUCAUCCACGCCAAGCCGAGCAACCUGACCCCGUUCAUGCCGCACGGCGUGCCGGGCGUGUUCCGCGCGGCGGCGAUCGUGUACUUCGCCUACGGCGGCUUCGACAACAUCGCGACGAUGGCGGAGGAGGUCAAGAACCCGUCGAGGGACAUACCGCUGGGGCUGCUGGGGUCCAUGUCGGUGAUCACGGUCAUCUACUGCGUGAUGGCGCUGGUGCUGAGCAUGAUGCAGCCGUACACGGAGAUCGACCGGAGCGCCGCGUACUCGGUGGCGUUCAGCAGCGUGGGGAUGCACUGGGCGCAGUACGUGGUGGCGCUGGGCGCGCUCAAGGGGAUGACGACGGUGAUGCUGGUGGGCGCGCUGGGGCAGGCGCGGUACACGACGCACAUCGCGCGGAGCCACAUCAUCCCGCCGGUGUUCGCGCUGGUGCACCCCAGGACCGGCACGCCGGUGAACGCCAACAUACUCAUCGCCGCCGCGGCCUGCUGCAUCGGGUUCUUCUCCAGCCUCGACGUGCUGUCCAGCCUGCUCUCCAUCAGCACGCUCUUCAUCUUCAUGAUGAUGGCCACCGCGCUCCUCGUCCGUCGGUACUACGUGAGGGGCGUGACGACGCGGACGCACGCGCUGCGGCUCCUGGUGUUCCUGCUGGUGAUCAUCGCCUCGUCGGCGGGCAUCGCGGCGUACUGGGGCACGACGCCCGAGCGGUGGGAGGGCUACGUGGUGCUGGUGCCGGCGUGGCUGCUGGGGACGCUCGGCAUCCAGCUGAUGGUGCCGGCGGCGCGCGCGCCCAAGGUGUGGGGGGUGCCGCUCGUGCCGUGGCUGCCCUCGCUCUCCAUCGCCACCAACCUGUUCCUCAUGGGGUCGCUCGGCUCGGAGGCCUUCGUCCGCUUCGGUGUAUGCACCGCCAUCAUGCUCAUCUACUACGUUCUCGUCGGGCUGCACGCCACGUACGACGUCGCCCACGAUGUGUGCAGCGAAGACGAGCUAAAAGACUACAGCGACACCGAUGAUGCUGCUGCUGGUGAGAAGGCGGCAGUGAAAACGGCAGACGUCGAGAAGGCUAGCGCGGGAGACGGUGGCCGCUAA